Long non-coding RNA from Herpailurus yagouaroundi (jaguarundi), 1378 nucleotides. RefSeq lists it as uncharacterized. The transcript has 2 exons. The record is from RefSeq and is a predicted model, not a curated record. NCBI's taxonomy places the organism in Eukaryota, Metazoa, Chordata, Mammalia, Carnivora, Felidae.
AAGCCGCACAACCGAAAUUCACCGCCUUUAAGGGCGCCCGGACCUCACCGGAUGGGUGCUCAGCUGCUCGUGCCGCGGCGCGGCCGCUUCUGCCGGUUGUCAGGCUGUCGGUGCCCGGAAUGAAGAGAAGCCAUUGUCGCCAAGGGCUUUUCUCCCCGAAAGGGAUUUACGGAUGGAAUGGAGAUGUGUGUGACCGGGGAGAGGUUUCCUGCCCGGAAAAAGCAAGACAUCACCCGAAGCUCCUUCCCCCAUUCCUGCACUUCUGUACAGUGGUGAGGAUGCCAUGCUCAUUUUAAGCCCACCCACAGCCCCACUGGCAGCAUACAGGAGGGAAAGAGAUCCCAGGCCAGCCACCAAACCAAACCCAGGGACCCAGUGAUUGGUUCAGGAUACACAGAUGACCCCAGUGGGUCCCGUCAGAGUUCUCAUGCUACUAGUUGGACUCAGAAGGAAAGAGAGCCUUUCUCCUCUUUGGAUUAUGAAUGGUGGGAAUGUCAACCCAAGACUUUUCAGCAAUUUCAAGAAAGGCUGUACGAAGCAGGAGGAAGAGAAUAAAUCCAGUAUGCAAAGAAAAGACACAGAAACAAGGCUGAGGUGAAAAAUGAGAGGAAAAGAGAAAAGAUGACAAUAUUGUUUGAUCCCUGGAUUUGGCCAUGCAAAUAAGUAAGCCUUUCCCUAGACUUCAAAUUAAAUGAGUGGGAGUUUCUGGUUCUUGCAAUACAAAGAACCCUGAUUAAUACAACUUAUUGGAUUAUUUAAAUAUUUCUUUUUUUUUUUUUUUAAAGUAGGUUCCACACCCAACAUGGGGCUUGAACUCACAACCCUGAGAUCAAGAGUGGCAUACUCUACCGACUGAGCCAGCCAGGUGCCCCAGAUGAUUUUAACAUUUCUUUAAUACCAUCAGUUCCACCGCAUACAAAACUGAGGCAUUUUACGACUCCGCCUUUGUGAAACAAUAAUGUAAGUAAUAAUUCAAGUUGCAAAAAUAGCAAAGACAUUGACCACCUAUUACGUCCAAGGUAAUGCACGUGUGCACAAAACGACAGAAAAAGGCAAACGCGCCAUAGGGCCAGCAAGCCCGGCAGGACAGACCUCCACAAAGUUCACAGCGGGCCCCUGAGGAUAGCUUCUAGAGCUUCCAUAUCAAGGUGAUUUCCAUUUCUUUGUAUGCUUAUCUUUCACCUCCAAAUCUUCCACAGUAAACUAUAUUACAUCUGGAAUCAGAAAAAAAAAAAAAAAAUGUCCUUGAAAAAGACUACUCCAUUUAUCAAACCAAUGGGGCUAUUUCUCAUUAAUUGUUGUUUUAAUAUUAAUUAAGAGCAUUUAUAUAAUGUUGUUGAAAAUCAAACUAAAAUAUAUUAUCUGUCAUAGUAUUUCA